This 197-nucleotide unclassified non-coding RNA is filed under the name uncultured Polyporales. Its description in RNAcentral is "sequence contains ITS1". Lineage: Eukaryota; Fungi; Basidiomycota; Agaricomycetes; Polyporales. The record is from RNAcentral.
AUGAGUUUUGAACGAAGCUGUUCUGGUCUUUCGGGGCAAGUGAACGCUUCACUCAAUCCAUCUUACACCUGUGCACCUCUGGAGAAAACAAGGGGGAUUCAAAGUUGGAUGACGACGAUGACCUCUCAUGUUUUCUCUUCUACCAAAAAUUACAGUCUUUAGAAAGUCAUUUUUUGCUUGAUGCAAAUAAAUAAAUA